RNA transcript from Microtus ochrogaster (prairie vole), 3498 nucleotides. It is a transcript of the gene named zinc finger protein 431-like, with no coding region annotated. The record is from RefSeq and is a predicted model, not a curated record. The transcript is spliced from 5 exons. NCBI's taxonomy places the organism in Eukaryota, Metazoa, Chordata, Mammalia, Rodentia, Cricetidae.
UUCCGGUCCGCCAUACUGUAGGCUCGCGACUCCGGGACUGAGGGAGACUCCUGUGUUCUUUGUGCCGUGCUGUGACCCGCGGUCCGGAGCUGUGGGGAGAGCGGGGCGAGCUCGGAACCCGCCAUGGACGCAGUGACCUAUGAGGAUGUGCAUGUGAACUUCACCCAUGAAGAGUGGGCUUUGCUGGAUCCUUCCCAGAAGAGUCUCUACAAAGAUGUGAUGCUGGAAACCUACUGGAACCUCACUGCUGUAGGCUACAAAUGGGAAGACCAGAAUAUUGAAGAACAUUGUCAAAGUUCUAGAAGACAUGGAAGGUAUAUGAUGUGUCACUCUGGAUCCAACUCGUGUGAUCCUAAGGGAUAUGGAAAGAAGCAAUGUACCUCUCUCUCUCCCCCCCAAAAUAGGAGAUAUGUAGUGGUUCCUGCUAUGAGAAGAUACAGUGAUUGUGAUACAAGUGUUCAAUUAAUUGGAUUUCCAAGUUCACUGGGAACACAUCCACAAACACACGAUGGAAAAGAACCUUGUGAGUACAGGGAAUAUGGAAAUUCUUCUGUCUGCACUGAUUCAUGUUGCACAUGUAAUGUGACUGACACUGCUUGCAGUCAGUGUCCCAAAACUCUCAGUCCUUCCAGUUCUCUUCAAAGUGGUGAAAAGACUCAUUUGGGAAAAGGAUGCUGUAAAUGUGAGCCUUGUACAAAAGGCUUGACCCAUCACAGGUGUCUUCACACACACAGAAGGUUCCAUACCGAAGAGGAACCCUGUGAGGGUAAACAAUGUGACAAAACAUUUAGAUCUGAUUCUUCUUUACAUUUACACCAGAGAACACAUUUGAAAAUGGAACCUUACGAGUAUAAUCAAGGUGAUCAAGACUUUUCAUGUCACAGUUAUCUUCAAGUGCCCAGAAUUUAUACUGGAAAGAAACCGUAUGAAUGCCAUCAAUGUGGAAAAGCCUUUGCACGUCCCAGUGAACGUAAAAUACACGAAAGAAGUCACACUGGAGAGAAACCCUAUGAAUGUAGUCAAUGUGGUAAAACCUUUGCAUAUCCCAGUAGCCUUCAAAGGCAUGAAAGAAAUCAUACUGUUGAGAAGCCCUUUGAAUGUCAUCAGUGUGGUAAGGCCUUUACACAUAACAAUCAUCUUCAAAGGCAUGAAAGAAGUCAUUCUGGAGGGAAACGCUAUGAAUGUCACCAGUGUGGUAAAGUCUUUGCACAUAACAGUCAUCUUCAAAGGCAUGAAAGAAGCCACACUGGAGAGAGACCCUUUGAAUGUAAUCAGUGUGGAAUAGCAUUUUCAUCUCGCAGUAAUCUUCUCAGUCAUGAAAGAAGUCAUGCUGGAGUGAAACCCUAUGAAUGUAAUCAUUGUGGUAAAGCCUUUGCACGUAAGAGUCAUCUUCAAUAUCAUGAAAAAAUACAUACUAGAGAAAAAUCCUAUGUACCUCGCAGAAGAGGUAAAGCUUUGCACAGACGCCUUCGUGUUGGAGGUGCCAGUCCCAUGGGGUGUGCAUCCAGACCAUCCGCAGUGGUGACGUGGAACCAGUCAGAGCCUAGAAGAGAAGUUUGUACUGCAGAUGGCAGAGCCAGUGAAGUGACCCAAGCUCUUUGGAGAGGCCCUGAAGAUUGUGAGUGGGUCCCAGCCAUUAGUAGUGGAGUUAUUUAUGCUGUCGGAGUUUCUUUUUCCUUCUUUCAGAAUGUGACUGCUCUGAUUCUUCCCUCUUGAAGGGGAGGGUAUUUAAUUUAAGUUUGAUUUUUAAAAAAGCCAUAGUUGGAAGACUUUGAACUUUUAAAAGAGAUCUUGGAUUUUUAGUGAGAUUGGAUAUUUUUAAAGAAAAAUUUUAAUGCAUUUGAAUUUGUAAAGCUUAUGGGACUUUUAUUAAAGUUAUUUAUGUUUUCAAUAUGAAAUUUUGGGAAUGAAUAGAAAAGGGAAGGUUGUGGCUCAACAGUGAUGUGUUUGCAUGUGAAGCUGAGAACUCACCCACUGCACUGACUGAUCGUAUGUCAACUUCACGUACAAACUGGACUUACCUGACAGGAGGGACACUCAGUUGAGAAAAUGCCUCUGUAAGAUAUGGCUAUAAGGCAUUUUUUAAAUGAUUCAUGGGGAAGGGUCCUGGGAUCUGUAAGAAAGCAGGCUGAACAAGCCAAAGAGAGCAAGUCAGUAAGCAGCACUCCUCCAUGGCCUGUGCAUCAGUUCCUGCAUCUAGGUUCCUGCCCCAGUUAGGUUUCUUUCCUGACAUCUUUUAAGAUGAGCAGCAAUAUUGAAGAGUAGACUAAAUAAUGCUUCCCAUAUUGCUUUUUCAUCAUGGUGUUUCAUUGCCAACAUUCUUACUAAGAAAUCCUGUCUCAAAAAAUCAAAAAAACAGGGUUGUGGUCAGACAGGGCAGCAAUUAAACACACUGGCCGUUCUUCCAGAUGACAAAGUUUCAAUUCCCAACACCCAGAUGGAAGUUUACAACUUUCUGUAAGUCCUGUUCCACGGUAUCCAACACACUCAUAGAGACAUACAUACAAACAAAAUGCCUAUACAUGUAAAAUAUAAACUAUUCUUUAAAAAAUAUAUAUAUAUCACAUUGUGGAACUUUAACAUAAUCUGGACUCAUCUCUACUCGAGUAAAUGUUUUGUUGUCCUCUUUUACAUCAGGAGAAUGGUAUUGACAAUUAUAAUUCGAAGCCAUGUCCAGAGUCCAUUUACAGAGGGAUAGAAAUUAUUUAAUCCUUCAAUGCUCAAACAGGGAAUUUCAUCACUAUGAAGUGAGAGAAAGCAGGAGUACUGGCACAUCUUCAUCUUCUACACUAUAACGACAUAUUUGGGAGUCAGGGAUCUGCCUCAGUAGUAAUGUUGGGUACCCACAUUUGAAUACUAGCACCCGCAUCAGAUGGCUUAAAACUACUUCUAAAGCCUUGUCCUGGAGAUCUGUUGCACUCUUCUGGCUUCCUUGGGCACCAGGUAUGCAAAUGGUGCAAAGAUAGCUAUGUAUGUAUUUGUGUAUGUAUAUUUUCCAUAGUUUAAAAAAAACUUCAUUUAUGUGUUUUGUCUUUUCCUAAAUUAAAAUAAAUUUGGGUGUAUUUUUGGAACAUGGUUCUGGGAAGGGGUCUUUUGAAGAGAAGAGAAUUCCACAUGCUUAUGUUAACAAUUCAAGAAAAGACAAGAGUCUUGAGACCUUGGUUUCUUGAAGACGUGAAGUUGUUCUUGGCAUGUGUUUCUGUGUUCCUCCCAGGUGCAGUAGGCAGGACUGAGUUGACUUCAGGUUGUACGUUAUUGCUGGCUGUUGUUACUCAUUAGAUGCUUGACUUCAGGUUGUGUGUUAUCGCUGGCUGUUGUUACUCAUUAAAUGCUUAAACUAUCAUUCAUAUGCCCAUAUGGAAAGACAUGUUUUGGCCCAGGUUGCUUGUUUUUGUCAUUGUAUACAGUUUGAACUUAUGAGACCUUUCUUCCUCAUGUGACUUUUUUUAACCUGCCAAAUAUAAAUUGUCUCGGGCUCUGAAUAAAGUUGGCUAUUGU